CUACGGGCGGCUGCAGUCGAGAGUCUUCCACAAUGGGCGAAAGCCUGAUGGAGCGACGCCGCGUGAAUGAUGAAGGGCUUCGGCCUGUAAAAUUCUUUUCUCCGUGAGAAAUCCGAGUCAAAUCGGUAUGAUGUUAGCGGAGGAAUAAGGGGUCGCUAAACUCGUGCCAGCAGCAGCGGUAAUACGAGUGCCCCGAGCGUUAUCCGGAAUCACUGGGCGUAAAGGGUGUGUAGGAGGUCGCGUUAGUCUUGUCUUAAAGGUUUCGGCUUAACCGAAAACAUGGACAGGAAACGGCGCGACUAGAGAGCGCGAGAGGUAUAUGGAACUCAUGGUGUAGGGGUGAAAUCCGUUGAUAUCAUGGGGAACACCAAAGGCGAAGGCAAUAUACUGGCGCGUUUCUGACUCUGAAACACGAAAGCGUGGGGAUCAAAAAGGAUUAGAUACCCUCGUAGUC
RNAcentral lists this ribosomal RNA (454 nucleotides) under uncultured bacterium. RNAcentral's name for it is "partial 16S ribosomal RNA". It matches the Rfam family "Bacterial small subunit ribosomal RNA", at positions 339 to 795 of the family's 1533-position model. The record is from RNAcentral.